This 497-nucleotide ribosomal RNA is filed under the name uncultured bacterium. RNAcentral's name for it is "partial 16S ribosomal RNA". It matches the Rfam family "Bacterial small subunit ribosomal RNA", at positions 28 to 507 of the family's 1533-position model. The record is from RNAcentral.
GAUGAACGCUGGCGGCGUGCCUAAUACAUGCAAGUCGAGCGAACAGACGAGGAGCUUGCUCCUCUGACGUUAGCGGCGGACGGGUGAGUAACACGUGGAUAACCUACCUAUAAGACUGGGAUAACUUUGGGAAACCGGAGCUAAUACCGGAUAAUAUAUUGAACCGCAUGGUUCAAUAGUGAAAGACGGUUUUGCUGUCACUUAUAGAUGGAUCCGCGCCGCAUUAGCUAGUUGGUAAGGUAACGGCUUACCAAGGCGACGAUGCGUAGCCGACCUGAGAGGGUGAUCGGCCACACUGGAACUGAGACACGGUCCAGACUCCUAAGGGAGGCAGCAGUAGGGAAUCUUCCGCAAUGGGCGAAAGCAUGACGGAGCAACGCCGCGCGAGUGAUGAAGGUCUUCGGAUCGUAAAACUCUGUUAUUAGGGAAGAACAAAUGUGUAAGUAACUAUGCACGUCUUGACGGUACCUAAUCAGAAAGCCACGGCUAACUACGUG